RNA transcript from Cyanidioschyzon merolae strain 10D, 1764 nucleotides. RefSeq lists it as hypothetical. The record is from RefSeq and is a predicted model, not a curated record. Lineage: Eukaryota; Rhodophyta; Bangiophyceae; Cyanidiales; Cyanidiaceae. The transcript has a single exon.
GCUCCAGUGACAAGUGAGUCCAUUUGCGAGUCUAAACCUGUACUCGUGCAUGCCCGUCCGCCAGGGCGCGGACGCGAAGGGUCACAACCGAUCAAGUGAACCCCGCUGGUAACUCGGAGUUUCGGGUGCGGGCCUUGGAACCCGACUCGCCCGGAAGCUUCGCACCGACCUGUGGCACCGGGUGCUGCUCAGGUUUCUGCAGUGCCGUUCACACGCACACGAAAGCAAGACAGCGUCCCGAUGCGGGGUGUAGCUUAUGUACGCUAUGGUAGCGGCGACGUCUAUAGUGUUCAGAGCGUCCCCAAGAGAACGUCACCAGAAAACUUGUCUAAAGUUCGCACAAGCGCCAACAGUCGCAGCGCAGUCGUGUCCGAUAUCCACGGAACACUGGACUAGUCGCGCACGCUUCUCUCCGAACUGUGUUUUUAUGCAGGACCUGGGUAUUCGAGGUGCAGCGAUGAGGGCUUACUGAUUCCUAUGUCGUUUUAGGAUGAUUGUACGUCUUUCUGGAGUGGGUCCGGUAGCGCUUUGCCGUCGGAGCUCGUUACGACACCUGCGUGAAGGUGCUUCGCGACAGCCGCAAACAAGGGUUCGCAGAAUACGCGAUAUCACCAUUCAGUUCAUAAGGACGAAUAUCUGAUCUUCUCCAUUCUUGGUGUGACUAUUGAUCAGUUCAAACGUUGUUCAAGGAUUCGAUCUCUCUGGUUCUUGGCAACUUGUGCGCGAACCCAGUUGCAGCGCUGGAUUGUUUACGGAAACUACCUGGUAGAGUCAUUUGGCGACUUGUUCACCAGGUAUUGCCAAAGCGUCACUGGGAUCGAAACGUCAACUAUCCUAGUUUGUUUGAAGAGCAAAUCCAGUUUACUCUAUAUGGCGAUCGACGGAACGGCAUUCAACACCAGCAUGGCUAUUGCAAUGGGAUAUGCGAAUAUGUGUAACAGUCUACCAGGUUGGCAUGGAAAAAAAUGUUGGACUCUGACGGAAGCCUUCGGUGCGAUCGUUUACAGUUUCGAGUGCAUCAGCGCAUUGCAGGAAAUAUGCGUCGACGGAUCGAAAAUGAUCGACAUGAUCUCCAGUCUGGAUUUUCCCUGCAGUUGCUGUUUUUUUCAUGGACAACAUCGCGUUCCACAUACGCUCUGUCAAAUGGAACAGCAUGCACUUGAUGGUUCUAGAGAAAGCGUACUCGCCGAUGGGAUGUUUCAGAAGGUGCCCACGAUCCCAGGAUACGUCGUUGAGCGCAGAAACCGGGAAUGGCUUCCAGAAACAGCCUCUUGUAUCCAUCAAGGACACGCAGUGAGCAGUGAAGCAAGCGUGUACGUGCCAAAGAUCGGGAUACGAAAAGAGCGAGUGUGGUGAGUGUAUAGGAACUCCUGACCUCAUCCAUGGGUUACCGCUGCGAAUGGUGCACCUAGGCUGCUCGUAAUGAGGAGGAAUACGGCGAGCGACGUAGAGCUCACCAAGAUCAUCUGUUCAAGAGUGACGUAGGAAACUGCCGAAUGCGGUGAAAAAAUCUCCAUCAACACUGCCACCAGUUCGCUUUGACUGCUAGUCACGGAGUUGGAUCUGCAGGAGAGACCGACGUAUCGACAGCCCGGAGCCAUCAGAGAGGAUCAAGAGGCAGCCGCACAGAGAAAGCCUGCAAAGGGUGGUGGAGCCAGUGAGAGAUGGACGAGGCCCAGACUUGAGCGCGUACGCCCGAAUGAGCUCAGUGAAUUCCUUCUACUUCACGUCGACGUGCAUGUACUACAAAAUAAAGCCACAAGU